This is a non-coding RNA of Monopterus albus (swamp eel), 72 nucleotides long. The record is from the annotation of a RefSeq genome assembly. NCBI's taxonomy places the organism in Eukaryota, Metazoa, Chordata, Actinopteri, Synbranchiformes, Synbranchidae.
GGGGAUGUAGCUCCGUGGUAGAGCAUGUACUUCGCAGGUAUAAGGUCCUGGGUUCGAUCCCCAGCAUCUCCA